RNAcentral lists this ribosomal RNA (253 nucleotides) under uncultured bacterium. Its description in RNAcentral is "partial 16S ribosomal RNA". It matches the Rfam family "Bacterial small subunit ribosomal RNA", at positions 524 to 776 of the family's 1533-position model. The record is from RNAcentral.
UACAGAGGUCCCAAGCGUUGUUCGGAUUCACUGGGCGUAAAGGGUGCGUAGGUGGCGAGGUAAGUCGGAUGUGAAAGCUCGGAGCUCAACUCCGAAAUGGCAUUGGAAACUACCUUGCUCGAGGGUCGGAGGGGGGACUGGAAUUUACGGUGUAGCGGUGAAAUGCGUAGAUAUCGUAAGGAAGACCAGUGGCGAAGGCGGGUCUCUGGACAGUUCCUGACGCUGAGGCACGAAGGCCAGGGGAGCAAACGGU